This 420-nucleotide ribosomal RNA is filed under the name uncultured bacterium. RNAcentral describes it as "bacterial SSU rRNA". It matches the Rfam family "Bacterial small subunit ribosomal RNA", at positions 917 to 1338 of the family's 1533-position model. The record is from RNAcentral.
GGGCCCGCACAAGCGGUGGAGUAUGUGGUUUAAUUCGAUGCAACGCGAAGAACCUUACCAGGGUUUGACAUCCUGCGAAUCUCUUGGAAACGAGAGAGUGCCUUCGGGAACGCAGUGACAGGUGGUGCAUGGCUGUCGUCAGCUCGUGUCGUGAGAUGUUGGGUUAAGUCCCGCAACGAGCGCAACCCACGUCGUUAGUUGCCAGCAUUUAGUUGGGCACUCUAGCGAGACCGCCGGUGAUAAACCGGAGGAAGGUGUGGAUGACGUCAAGUCAUCAUGCCCCUUACAUCCUGGGCUACACACGUACUACAAUGCUACGGACAAAGGGCAGCAAACUCGCGAGAGCUAGCAAAUCCCAUAAACCGUGGCUCAGUUCAGAUCGUAGGCUGCAACUCGCCUACGUGAAGGAGGAAUCGCUAG